AUGCAGAGUACAGAAGAUGGGGGAGCAUUUAUGAAAAUAAUAAAAAAAAAAAAAAAAAAAAAAAAAAAAAAAAAAAAAAAAAAAAAAAAAAAAAAAAAAAAAAAAAAAAAAAAAAAAAAAAAAAAAAAAAAAAAAGAAAUAUUACAUAAAAUGGUAACAAAUGCAAAUAAAAAUAAUAACGAUGACUGGGAACUACAUCCUUUGUUUUUGUCAAAAAUACCUAAAAAACAGGAUAUAGAUAAGAAUUCAGCUCUUGCUGCAUUAAUAACUUUAAUUAAUGAAGAAGAAAAUGAAGUUUCUAAUUAUCAACCCAAAAGAAAAAACUUAAAAAAAAAGUAACAGAUAAUGAAGGAAUUAUUUAUAGAAGAGAUAGAAGAGAUGUGUUUGCACCUUAUCAAAGCAAAACGCAAGUUCAUGAUUUACAAAACCAUAUUCUUAAAAAUGUAAACAAUAACAAUAAGAUUACUGCUAAUACUAGUAGUAAUGAAACAUCGAAUCAUUUUCAAAACGAGAAACAAGAACAAGAAAUACAAGAACAAAAUGGUGAAUAUCAAAGUAAUGUAUCAGAUGAAAACGACAUGACAGAAAAAACGUCGAUCGGUGAAGUUUUAGUUUGUUUAUCAAUGAUGAAUUUAAAACAAUAGUAUAAUAAAAUAUUUUCUUUCCAUCUCUAUCUUUCUUCC
This 683-nucleotide long non-coding RNA is filed under the name Piliocolobus tephrosceles (Ugandan red Colobus). RNAcentral describes it as "lncRNA (ENSPTEG00000015902.1)". Lineage: Eukaryota; Metazoa; Chordata; Mammalia; Primates; Cercopithecidae. The record is from RNAcentral.